GCAUUCAGCUUUCUCAACAGACAGUUCGAGCCCUGCUCCGUGCCUCAGCUGCCUGAAAAGUCACAGUGGAGCCAGGUGAAUUCUGCCGGGAUCUUCACAGGGCACCACUGGCGUCCGCACUUGACAACACCUUCCUGGUGAGCUCUCUCCUCUCUGAAAUGCCAGAGGUGGACCCGAUGGUUGCAUCAGGUUGAGGUGAUGUCUCCUCCCUGACGACCACGACCCAAAGGAACAGCAAGGUUGUUCUGGGCAUUUCCUGUCCCUGGAUAGGUGAAGGAAGAAUGCUGCCAUGGUUCUGGAAUAGUUAGUGAACCGUUUUAAUUAUUACCGAUUUUAAGAACAGUGCAUCCUGGGUUAGACAGGACCAAUGCUAAGACAACGGCAGGAAAGUGUGAACCCGGCCCUCGCCCUCUGUCAAAGGGUUUAUUAAAGUUUCCCCUCCAUGGGCCCUUAGCCUGAGAAACUGUUACAGUUUUUUGUUUGUUUGUUUGUUUGUUUGUUUGGGGGUUGUUUGUUUGUUUGUUUUUGUCUUUUGAGAGACAAGGUUUCUCUG
This is a non-coding RNA of Peromyscus maniculatus bairdii (prairie deer mouse), 553 nucleotides long. Lineage: Eukaryota; Metazoa; Chordata; Mammalia; Rodentia; Cricetidae. The record is from RefSeq and is a predicted model, not a curated record.